GAGACAGCAGUAGCCGCGGUAAUACGUAGGUCCCGAGCGUUGUCCGGAUUUAUUGGGCGUAAAGCGAGCGCAGGCGGUUAGAUAAGUCUGAAGUUAAAGGCUGUGGCUUAACCAUAGUACGCUUUGGAAACUGUCUAACUUGAGUGCAAGAGGGGAGAGUGGAAUUCCAUGUGUAGCGGUGAAAUGCGUAGAUAUAUGGAGGAACACCGGUGGCGAAAGCGGCCCUCUGGCUUGUAACUGACGCUGAGGCUCGAAAGCGUGGGGAGCAAACAGGAUUAGAUACCCGGGUAGUCCCUGUCUCUUAUAAC
RNAcentral lists this ribosomal RNA (308 nucleotides) under uncultured bacterium. Its description in RNAcentral is "partial 16S ribosomal RNA". It matches the Rfam family "Bacterial small subunit ribosomal RNA", at positions 505 to 810 of the family's 1533-position model. The record is from RNAcentral.